Molecule: ribosomal RNA, 81 nt
Filed under: Agrobacterium salinitolerans
Lineage: Bacteria; Pseudomonadati; Pseudomonadota; Alphaproteobacteria; Hyphomicrobiales; Rhizobiaceae
Also listed under: 1 other name
Description: partial 16S ribosomal RNA
Rfam family: Bacterial small subunit ribosomal RNA
Source: RNAcentral
CUAACCACGGUAGGGUCAGCGACUGGGGUGAAGUCGUAACAAGGUAGCCGUAGGGGAACCUGCGGCUGGAUCACCUCCUUU